This 460-nucleotide ribosomal RNA is filed under the name uncultured bacterium. Its description in RNAcentral is "partial 16S ribosomal RNA". It matches the Rfam family "Bacterial small subunit ribosomal RNA", at positions 338 to 795 of the family's 1533-position model. The record is from RNAcentral.
CCUACGGGAGGCAGCAGUGAGGAAUAUUGGUCAAUGGACGAGAGUCUGAACCAGCCAAGUAGCGUGAAGGAUGACUGCCCUACGGGUUGUAAACCUCUUUUAUAAGGGAAUAAAAUGUUCCACGUGUGGGUUUUUGUAUGUACUUUAUGAAUAAGGAUCGGCUAACUCCGUGCCAGCAGCCGCGGUAAUACGGAGGAUCCGAGCGUUAUCCGGAUUUAUUGGGUUUAAAGGGAGCGUAGGUGGAUUGUUAAGUCAGUUGUGAAAGUUUGCGGCUCAACCGUAAAAUUGCAGUUGAUACUGGCAGUCUUGAGUACAGUAGAGGUAGGCGGAAUUCGUGGUGUAGCGGUGAAAUGCUUAGAUAUCACGAAGAACUCCGAUUGCGAAGGCAGCUCACUGGACUGCCACUGACACUGAGGCUCGAAAGUGUGGGUAUCAAACAGGAUUAGAUACCCUUGUAGUC